Molecule: ribosomal RNA, 576 nt
Filed under: Weissella sp.
Lineage: Bacteria; Bacillati; Bacillota; Bacilli; Lactobacillales; Lactobacillaceae
Description: bacterial SSU rRNA
Rfam family: Bacterial small subunit ribosomal RNA
Source: RNAcentral
GGCGAACGGGUGAGUAACUCGUGGGAAACCUACCUCUUAGCAGGGGAUACCAUUUGGAAACAGAUGCUAAUACCGCAUAACAAUAGCAACCGCAUGGCUGCUACUUAAAAGAUGGUUCUGCUAUCACUAAGAGAUGGUCCCGCGGUGCAUUAGCUAGUUGGUGAGGUAAUGGCUCACCAAGACGAUGAUGCAUAACCGAGUUGAGAGACUGAUCGGGCACAAUGGGACUGAGACUCUGCCCAUACUCCUACGGGAGGCCCCUGCACGGAAUCUUCCCCUAUGCGCGAAAGCCUGAUGCAAUCACUCCACGUGUGUGAUGAAGGGUUUCCCCUCGUAAGACCCUGUUGUAACAUAAAAAUGACCUUGAUAGUCCCUGGUCUGUGCGGGACCGCAUCUUACCCUAAAGGAACGGCUAAUUACGUGCCACUCCCCGCGGGAAUACGUAUGUUCCAAGCGUUAUCCGGAUUUAUUGGGCGUAAAGCGAGCGCCUACGGCUAUUUAAGUCUGAAGUGAAACUACCUCAGCUCAACUGAGGAAUUGCUUACCCACACUGGAUGACUCUGAGUGCAGUAUACG